Molecule: ribosomal RNA, 437 nt
Rfam family: Bacterial small subunit ribosomal RNA
ACGGGAGGCAGCAGUGGGGAAUAUUGGGCAAUGGGCGAAAGCCUGACCCAGCAACGCCGCGUGAAGGAAGAAGGUCUUCGGAUUGUAAACUUCUUUUAUGAGGGACGAAGGAAGUGACGGUACCUCAUGAAUAAGCCACGGCUAACUACGUGCCAGCAGCCGCGGUAAUACGUAGGUGGCAAGCGUUAUCCGGAUUUACUGGGUGUAAAGGGCGCGUAGGCGGGGAUGCAAGUCAGAUGUGAAAUCUAUGGGCUCAACCCAUAAACUGCAUUUGAAACUGUGUCUCUUGAGUGCUGGAGAGGUAGAUGGAAUUCCUUGUGUAGCGGUGAAAUGCGUAGAUAUAAGGAAGAACACCAGUGGCGAAGGCGAUCUACUGGACAGUAACUGACGCUGAGGCGCGAAAGCGCGGGGAUCGAACAGGAUUAGAUACCCUGGUA